CAAAUCCUACGGGAGGCAGCAGUGGGGAAUAUUGCACAAUGGGGGAAACCCUGAUGCAGCAACGCCGCGUGAAGGAAGACGGUUUUCGGAUUGUAAACUUCUUUUCUUAGUGAAGAAGCAAGUGACGGUAGCUAAGGAAUAAGCAUCGGCUAACUACGUGCCAGCAGCCGCGGUAAUACGUAGGAUGCGAGCGUUAUCCGGAAUUACUGGGUGUAAAGGGAGCGUAGACGGCCAGACAAGUCU
This 243-nucleotide ribosomal RNA is filed under the name uncultured bacterium. RNAcentral's name for it is "partial 16S ribosomal RNA". It matches the Rfam family "Bacterial small subunit ribosomal RNA", at positions 333 to 590 of the family's 1533-position model. The record is from RNAcentral.